This is a long non-coding RNA of Heterocephalus glaber (naked mole-rat), 1105 nucleotides long. The record is from Ensembl. NCBI's taxonomy places the organism in Eukaryota, Metazoa, Chordata, Mammalia, Rodentia, Bathyergidae.
GGAAGCAGAAAAAAUUUAAAGGUUCAUGUAUAUGGUAGAUAAGGCUUACUUAUCCACUGAAGUUAUUCUAAGUGAAUAAAAUAAUCUUAUCUCUUUCAUCUUCUAAAUAAGUUGUUGAAAAUGCAUUUUCUUUUGACAUUAUACUAAUAUAAUGAAAUGCUUAGAGUUAUACAAGUAGUGGAUUUUGACUAUUAAGGUUGUGGAACUUGUCAAACUUGGUCAAAACUUAUUGUUUUAGCUCCAGACUAUCUCAGAAGAAAACUUAUAGCUGAACAAAGCCAUGUCUGCUAGGGAAAUUUGCUGUUUAAAUUUUUUCCAGGAAAGAAAGAGUCCUAAGCAAUUUUGACAUGAUCAUAAGAGCUGUCUGGUGACCUGAUGUUGUGGAAAAUUAUAGAAUAUCUAGUAGUGCAAAAUAUGAUGGUGUUGGAGGGAUCUCAGAUCAGUAUGGUAUAAGCCAUAUGUGCUGCAAUAAGGAGAUACGGGGGAACAAGUUAUGCGUGGAGUGUCAGUUUGCCGUCCCCUUCCCCAAAAUCGCCCCUUGCCCUUGUUUCGGUGAAUAGAAGAGAAGCACUUUUGGAGUACAUACCUCCUGUAUGAUCUGGUGCACUAGAAUUUCAGUUGCUUUGGUUAUAGUACUGGAUAACUUAAAAUCUCUCCAGAAAAUAGAAUAAAGCCAAUCCCUCUGGGGAGUUAGCAUGUGAUUGAAUUACCUGGCUAAACAUGUUUAGCUGAAUUAUUAAUUUUCUGCCUUGUUAAGUACUGUCUUAUUAAGUACUGGAAGUGAAAAUGCAUGCAAUGUAAAAAUAUGCUGGAAAACAGUUGUAAAACCAUCAUUAGGUCACAGUAUUUGCAUGACUUCUUGUGAGACAGAGUGACAUGUAUCUUGAAACAGGAUCAGCUGUCAUUUUCACAGGUUUAUCCAAAUAGUUUAUAUUAUUGAUUAUAUAUUCUAAAAGUUUAGGUGACAGAAGGUUCAUAUAAGUUAUAUCUAAAAAAUGCAAGAAGGAUCAGAGGAAGUUGAGCCUAGUGUCUUGGAGAAAUUACUCUAUAUUAUCACGGAUGGUUAGGCAGAGAGAAAUCUUUUCAUAUGUAAAAAAUUUAGCAG